This 498-nucleotide ribosomal RNA is filed under the name uncultured bacterium. Its description in RNAcentral is "partial 16S ribosomal RNA". It matches the Rfam family "Bacterial small subunit ribosomal RNA", at positions 30 to 523 of the family's 1533-position model. The record is from RNAcentral.
AUUGAACGCUGGCGGCAUGCUUUACACAUGCAAGUCGAACGGCAGCGCGGGGCAACCUGGCGGCGAGUGGCGAACGGGUGAGUAAUACAUCGGAACGUACCCAGAAGUGGGGGAUAACGUAGCGAAAGUUACGCUAAUACCGCAUACGUUCUACGGAAGAAAGUGGGGGACCGCAAGGCCUCAUGCUUUUGGAGCGGCCGGUGUCUGAUUAGCUAGUUGGUAGGGUAAAGGCCUACCAAGGCGACGAUAAGUAGCUGGUCUGAGAGGACGACCAGCCACACUGGGACUGAGACACGGCCCAGACUCCUACGGGAGGCAGCAGUGGGGAAUUUUGGACAAUGGGCGCAAGCCUGAUCCAGCAAUGCCGCGUGAGUGAAGAAGGCCUUCGGGUUGUAAAGCUCUUUUGUCAGGGAAGAAACGGCUGAGGAUAAUACCUUUGGCUAAUGACGGUACCUGAAGAAUAAGCACCGGCUAACUACGUGCCAGCAGCCGCAGUAA